RNAcentral lists this ribosomal RNA (249 nucleotides) under uncultured bacterium. RNAcentral's name for it is "partial 16S ribosomal RNA". It matches the Rfam family "Bacterial small subunit ribosomal RNA", at positions 94 to 339 of the family's 1533-position model. The record is from RNAcentral.
AGCGGCGGACUGGUGAGUAACGCGUGGGUGAUCUACCUCGGGGUUGGGGAUAGCCAUUAGAAAUAGUGGGUAAUACCGAAUACGCUCCCCUGACUGCGGUCAGGGGAGGAAAAGCGCUACGGCGCUGACCUGAGAUGAGCCCGCGUCCCAUUAGCUAGUUGGUGAGGUAACGGCCCACCAAGGCUAUGAUGGGUAGGCGGCCUGAGAGGGUGUACGCCCACACUGGGACUGAGAUACGGCCCAGACUCC